This 814-nucleotide ribosomal RNA is filed under the name uncultured bacterium. Its description in RNAcentral is "bacterial SSU rRNA". It matches the Rfam family "Bacterial small subunit ribosomal RNA", at positions 257 to 1084 of the family's 1533-position model. The record is from RNAcentral.
GUAACGGCCCACCAAGUCUGCGAUCGGUAGCCGGACUGAGAAGUUGAACGGCCACAUUGGGACUGAGAUACGGCCCAGACUCCUACGGGAGGCAGCAGUGGGGGAUAUUAGGCAAUGGGGGAAACCCUGACCUAGCAACGCCGCGUGAAGGAAGAAGGUCUUCGGAUUGUAAACUUCUUUGACGAGGGAAGAUAAUGACGGUACCUCGAAAACAAGCCACGGCUAACUACGUGCCAGCAGCCGCGGUAAUACGUAGGUGGCAAGCGUUGUCCGGAUUUAUUGGGUGUAAAGGGCGUGUAGGCGGAGAAGCAAGUCAGAUGUGAAAUGCGGGGGGCUCAACCCCCGGACUGCAUUUGAAACUGCUAUUCUUGAGUGAUGGAGAGGUAAGCGGAAUUCCCGGUGUAGCGGUAAAAUGCGUAGAUAUCGGGAGGAACACCAGUGGCGAAGGCGGCUUACUGGACAUUAACUGACGCUGAGGCGCGAAAGUGUGGGGAGCAAACAGGAUUAGAUACCCUGGUAGUCCACACUGUAAACGAUGGAUACUAGGUGUGGGGGGACUGACCCCUUCCGUGCCGGAGUUAACACAAUAAGUAUCCCACCUGGGGAGUACGGUCGCAAGAUUAAAACUCAAAGGAAUUGACGGGGACCCGCACAAGCAGUGAGUAUGUGGUUUAAUUCGAUGCAACGCGAAGAACCUUACCAAGGCUUGACAUCCUACUGACGAAGUAGAGAUACAUUAGGUACCCUUUUAGGGAAAGUAGAGACAGGUGGUGCAUGCUUGUCGUCAGCUCGUGUCGUGAGAUUUUGGGGUAAG